RNAcentral lists this long non-coding RNA (6919 nucleotides) under Vitis vinifera (wine grape). Its description in RNAcentral is "long non-coding RNA (VVIN_LNC007429)". Lineage: Eukaryota; Viridiplantae; Streptophyta; Magnoliopsida; Vitales; Vitaceae. The record is from RNAcentral.
CUUCCCUCGCCUAAAAGAAGUACAGACGAAAAACAAUUUCUAAUUUGUUUCCUAGACUAAACGCUGCUCAAAUGUUCAAUUGAAAGAUGAAGACUACGUGGCCAAUAUGGAGUAAUUCAAUUAACGGCCACAAGAGAAUGGAUCUGUCACACCGGGUACUGACAUUACAACAGAACAAAGAUAUAAUGAUAUUGGUUGGAGCUGAACCUAUUGAAGGUGAGGCAAGUCCCUAUCUCAUAACUGAGUUUCCAAAGACGGAUUUCUUUCAACUUUGUUUUUUUCAAUAUCGCAGGCAAACCUGGAAUCUUCCCUCCCACUUAGACACUUGAUUCUAACCAAUCAAGACAAGCGGACUCUACAAAGUUUAUUUAAAUAUAUUUUCUCUUCGUAGUAUAUAGCAUAUUCCUUAUCAUAAUAAUAAUGCUACAACUUUCCAUGAAGCAAUAAAUGGCAAAAGAACCCCCAAAAAUUAAAAUCUUGGAAAUACCACUCUAGAAUCCUUGAGAAAUCCAGCUAACAGGUUGAGAAACAUUAUAGCAAGGUUUCUCCACCUCUCCUAGUAAUAAUUGAACUAGAAGCCACAGCUUGAGAGGGACCAUUGUGGGGGGCAACCGUGAAAGAUUUGGGCAGUCAAAGUGCUGAUGCACAGGUUCCGACUAUUGCCCAUUCCAAAAGUGGCAGAAGCUAGACUGUAUUCAACUCACCCACCCAGAGCAGGAAGCCUUGGUUGAGUGGAGUAUCCUGCUAGGAUCAAUAUUAGGCUGGUAUUGUUUUCGAUAUUCUGUAUUACUAGGGAAUUACAAGAUAGAAGUGAUAAAGAAAGAAAGAACGAAGAAAAAAGAAAUAAAAUAAAAGAGUUGAAUUUUCAAUUAUAUGAGGAUAUGGCUUCUCUUCCAUUCUCCCAAGUACCAUAGUGUGAGUGUGUGACAGAUAAAACAUUGCAUAAGCAAAAUUUUGACAUGGCAAAGUUUUAAUAAAAAUUACCCACUAAAUUAAAAGGUGCACCUCAUCAUAUAAAUGACGCAAUUUUGAGACUUCAAGUGUAGCUUAUCUUGAUUUAGUUAACUUUAAUGAUUUAAUUUCCAUAAAAUCUAAUAUGAGAAAGUCUCCAGAAAAAUGAGUGCAUAAUAAGAUGGUCAAACACAUAAUCCAGCUAUGAGCUAAAUUUACUUAAUAGUACUCUCAUAAAAAUAAAAAAUUACUUCCUGGUACAUGGUAUAGUUCCAUCAGUCACUAGGGGAUACUUUGACUUUUCAUUUUUUUUAUUUUUAUAACCGUGAAUGUUCGGACUGUAGUGCCAACGAAAGCUUUGAUGCCAACAAUGUUAGUUCAAGAACACAAAGAUAAAGCAAUCACACAUACGGUACACGAGGUUUUAACGUGGUUCGGCCAACCAUGCCUACGUCCAUGGAUGAGAGAGAAUAAUUCCACUAUACAAUAGAGAAUAUUACAGAGGAUAAAAUCAGAUACAACUAUUAGGUUCCCGAAACAUCUCAUGUUUCCCCACUCCUUGUAUCCAUACCUUACUACGAGCCCUCUCGCUCCACCAGGUACCUCCCAUUCUUCCUCACAUCUCUAUCCACCUCGUAUAGUCUCUAUAGACACAUCUCCAUCUCAUAACUUUUUCCCCUCAUGACCUAGAAUAUUUAUAGAGAUAUUUCCAACAACCUUCCUUAUUCUAUAAGGAAGUCUAAUAUUACAAUAAUAUAUCAACCUAGAAAUAUUCUAUAUAAUAUUCUUUACAAAAAAUGAAUCUAUACUAAUUAGGAAUUUGGGACACUUCCUAACACGGACCAGCUUACAUGCACCUCGACUAAUCCCAUGGGGCCCUAAAAUUAAUGAUCGGGUAAACCUCCAAUGGCCCUGAGGGGCCUCAAACUAGUGACCCUCAGGUCCCACAAGCCUUAGAUAUUUUAUGGUAUGUGGUUUAGAUUGUUUUGUUCUUGGUUCCUUGUUUCCUAAGUGGGGCCUUGUGCAAGUCUGAAUUGUAUGGAACAGUUUCACUGUAAAAUUAGAUUUUAUUAUAAAAUAUAAAAAAGUUAUUGAAAAUAUGUCUAUAAAUAUUCUAAGUCACGAGGAAAAAAAGUCAUGAGAUGUAGAUGAAUCUAUAAAUACUAUAUGAGGUAGAUAGAGAUAUAAGGAAGAAUAUGAGGUACCCGAUGGAGUGAAAAGGCUUGUGAUAUGGUAUGGAUACAAAGAGUGGAAAAAUAUGGGAUGUUGUGAUAAUCCAAUAGUUGUAUUUGGUUCACUCCUCUGUAAUAUUCUCUGUUGUAUAGUGGAAUAAUUCUCAAUCAUCCAUGUACGUAAGCAUGGUUGGUUGAACCACGUUAAAACCUUGUGUAUCAUAUGUGUGAUUGUUUUAUCUUUGUGUUUUUUAUGCGAUUACUUUUAUUAGUUAUUUUCAAAUAAUGAUAACUUGAAAAUUUAUCAUAAAUAAUUAUUUUCAUUUAACUAAAUAUUGGAUUAUUUCUUCUUCCGUUCAAUUUUUAAGUAUGAAGUAUGUCAUGUUAAGAAAUUUAAAAUGGAUCUACUUUGUUUACAAGUUAAGACAUUUUGAUUAAGGGAUAAAUAAUGAAUUAUAAUAUUUCAACUUUAAUUAAGUUGAUUUAUCAAUAUUUAAGCAAAGUUGGAGAAAAAAAAAGGAUGAUACCUAUAUUUUUGUCUUUCAAUAAAUUAACAUAUAGUUUUAGUCAUUACACCUAGUUAUUUCUUUUUUCUCUUCUUCUUCUUCUUUUUUCCUUUGUUUCUUUGACACGCAAUGGCAUACCUUUCAAGACUUUAAGCUCAUAAAAUUUUUCAAGUCUUCUCGUCUUAUCUUUUAAAAUUCUAGUCACUCAAAGUAUUUAAUACUUUUAGCUAUAACUUAUAAGAGUUUUGACCUAUUAAAAAAAUGAACCAAAAAUACUUUGCAAAAUAUUAAAAGUUCGGAAUUAUCUCUUUUAACUUAAAUGUGAGUGUUAUGUGUUCACUAAUUCGCAUAUUUGCAAUAUAACCUAGGAUGGUUGAGCUUUGUAACAUGCUUAUCACAAUCAAUUCAUCCUUCUAUAAUUUUUCUUUUCCCUUUUGGUUCUACUCAUUUUAAUGUAAAGAAGAACCAAAGCAUAUUUAUUAGUUGAUUUUACCCAAGGUUACACACCUGAAAAUUUUAUGCAUUUUUGGUCUAACAAGCUAUGAUACUUAGACCUAGCAUUACAUGUGAAAGAAAACAAAAAGUAAUAAUAAAAAUAUAAUUUUUGUGGGAAAAUUAAAAUUGCUAUGAAAUAUUUUAUUUUCUUAAAUGUUGUUUAGAUAUUGACCUAUUGGCUCGUUAAUUAAAGUUAAAAUACUCUUAACAUUUUUUUUUUUCAUUUCUUUUAUCAAAAUGUCUUGGUUGGGAAAUACUUGAAAUUUAAAUUCCUCUUAAGCUUCUAUUUCUCUAAACUCCAACGGGCUUAAGUAUUAUGAAAGUUUAUGAAUGAAUUGCCUAAUUUUCUUUCCCAUGCAAUGAAGUUAUAAAAAAUAAAAAUAAAAAUAAACUUGUUGAUUUUGGUAAUGCAAGUUGUUUUAGAAAGUUUAACUCUUUUUUCUAACCUGACUCAGUUUUACCCAUUUGACUCAAUGAUUAAAGUAUCACUUUGAUACAAUGAGUCAUUGGUUACUGAGUGAAACCCCUUAUUUUGCCAACAUGACAACAAGCACACAAAUCCUUAAAAAAUAAAUAAGUAUAAAAUUUUAGUAAAUCAUUCUAAUACAUAAUACUAAAUGUAAUGUUGAGGCAAAUGCUAUAUUUUGAUAACAGCAUUCCUCACCAAGUCAUGCCGUGUAUAAGAAAUUGACGAGUGUAUAGAUGAAUGAAUUGGAAAAAGUAAACAUUGGUACAACUUUGGACUAUAAGAGAAUUAGGAAAAGAAAGCAUUGAUAUAGCUUUGGAUUGUGACACAAGAGAAUUGCAAAAAGCUUUGGAAUGUGACAAAAGAACUAGUCAAAUGACAUGAGGAAAACAAUUCGACUUAGAAUUGUAUGCCUGUGAUACAAUAAUUAAGAAUAACUUUCAACCAUUUCUUGCAAAUAAGCACAUAGAUCCAAUGGCUUACAAAACAUGGGCAUGUGAUCUGAACCCAAAAUCACUUUCACCUCAUCCGUUAGAUUAUUUUUUAUCAUCCAUUCCUGAAAAUCCUCUUCUAGCAUCUUAUCCUUAUCACACAUAAUAUAAACUCGACGAACCGUUCCAUACUUUUCCUUAGUCACUGUUGUUUCCGUCAGCAAAUUUUCUCCAUUAAAGACAUUGAUGGGCCUCAUCAACGUGGUUGCAAGCAUCAAAUCCUAUGCUCAAAUUCAUCAUGGUUACAACUUACAAUAGUGUUUUUAAAAAUAAAAAAUAGAAAAACAUAUUCAAUAGGUAUUUUUUGAAAAUAUAUUUUAAUUGCUUUUAUUUAUUUUUAAGGAUUAUUUUAAAAAAUAAUUAUAUAAAUAUACAAAUUAAUCAAAAAUAAAAUACCACGUGUAAAAAAUAUUUUAAAUUCUCAAAUAAACUUUGAUCAUAUAAAAGAUUGAAAAACAGUCCAUGUGUCUUCAAAAAAUUAAAUCGAAAAAUCCGUUUUGAAAGAUACAGCAAUACUUAGUCAUCAUGUCAUUUUGAUAUAUGUAGAAGCGAGAAAAGACACGACUGAAUAUGAUACCUCAGGUGGGGAGAGCUGAUAAAGCUUGGCUGCCAAGUACUCCGGGCCAAAUAUCAGGGAGGUUGGAGGAUUGUUGGGCCCUCUGUCGAACGUCUACUGCGUAUCCAAGGAAGCACCCACUCUACUCUGAUGAAGCUGUAAUUCCAUAUGAAUAUUAAGUCAUUUUUUUGAACUCAAACUGAUUAUCAAUUACAUAAUUAGUUAACGAUGAAAUUCUCCAUAGUCUCAAAUUUAUAAAAAAAAAAAUCAAAUUAUAAUUUUUUUUUUUAAUAUAUAUAUAUGAAAUUUUUGUAUAAAUGCUUAGAAAUUUUUUUUUUUAAAUCAUGCAAUUCAAUCAAUCUAAUCAACUCAAAUUCAUCCCAAUCAAUUCGAAUUCAAUCUAAUCAAUCUAAGUUUAAAAAAUAAAAAAAAAAUAAAAAUGAGAUUGGAUUAAACUUAAUUUAAAUACCGGUUAAAGAUUUAGUUAAGUUGAGUUUGCAUUAAUUAUUUUUAAAAUUCGAAUCAAGUUGAAGUAAGGAUCAAUCCUCCCACCCAUGUUGCACACUGAAUUCCACGCGGCUGGAUAUGGAGAAAGAAAAGAGGAUAAGCAACUUCACCUUCGGGAGAAACAACUCUAGAAUACCCCAAAUUUGCGUGGGGACAACAUGUGCCCUUCUACCAACGUUAUUAAAAUCAUUUCUUGAAUGAAUACGAGUCCCUAGUUUUACAAUCGAGUGAACUUUGGUACAAAUAUCAUACUAUAUUUUAUAUAUAUUUAAAAUUAAAAAUAGUUAUAAAAUGACUUUUAAAAAUGAAUAUAAAUUUAAUUCCUUUAAUUAUUUUUAACCUCUGCCAUAUCAAUUACAAAUUAACUAAAUAUAUGAUUAAUUUUAUUUUCCAAUAAAAAUUUUACCAAUAUUAAUUUUCAAUAGCAGAGGGAUUUGAGUGACUUUAAUAAAAUCCAAUCCAAUUUAAUUUUUUUUUCAUGGACUUGGACAACUAAAUUUGUAAUUUAUGUAAUUUACAAAUUAUUUUUUUUUUUCAAUCCAAUCAACAACGGGUCGUUUUUUAGUUGUUUUGAGUAAUAAUUGAAAAUAUAAAAGAUAUUGUAGAACUUUUACAUUGUAUGUAAGUGUUGAAAAGAAUAAUCCAAAAAAAUGAUUUUUGAUAUUUGAGUUUUCAAAUAGAAUUCUAAAACUUCACGAACAGAUGUAAAAAAUUUCAUAAUUCUAGGCCCUCUUCAGCUGUCUACUAUUGAAAGACUGAAAUGGAAACAUCCUUUUUGUCCAUGGAAAGAGUUUAAGAGAGAGUAUACCUCUUGAAUAACAGUGGGAAGAUUUAAAUCAGGACCCGGCAUUAGAGCAGCUACGAAAACUGCCACAGAAAUUUUCUGAGGGAACCUCUCCAUUGCAACCGAUACGCUGACCCCACCCAAGCUGUGAGCUACCAGGAUCACCUUUUCCCCGGUUACGAGUGAGGUCAUGAACUCAAUCAAUGGUUCAUAGUAGUCUGAAAUUGAAUUAAGCUCGUCUAGUCGCUUUCCAUUGGCACCGGCAGCCGCGAGGUCCAAGGCAGUGACUCUGUGACCAGCAGAUCUCAGCAAAGUUGCCACCUUAUACCAACACCAUGCCCCAUGACAGGCUCCAUGAACUAAUACAAAGUGCCUCUCCCUUUUCUCCAUCCUCCCCUGUUGUUGCUUUUACUAGUGGGUUUUUUCUUACUUUUAUAGUAUGGAACAGUUUCAUUCAGGUCCCAUAAGCCUUGAAUAUUUUAUGGUUUGGUGAUUGAGAUUGUUUUGUUCUUGGUUCCUUGUUUCGCAAGUGUGGCCUUGUGCAAGUUUGAGUCCUGUCGUUGGCUUGCGUCUUUACACUCAGAUAUGUUGAACCCUCCAUCGCUUUUGUUUGUUUUCAGAUAAAAGUUCCCUGUUGCCCAACCCCGCGCUCUUCAUAUAUCUAAGCAAUUUUAUGGAUCAUUUUGUGUUUGAUGAACUCCCCUCGCCUAAAAGAAGUACAAAAGAAAAACAAUUUCUAAUUUGUUUCCUAGACUAAACGCUGCUCAAAUGUUCAAUUGAAAGAUGAAGACUAAUUAACGGCCACAAGAGAAUGGAUCUGUCACACCGGGUACUGACAUUACAACAGAACAAAGAUAUAAUGAUAUUGGUUGGAGCUGAACCUAUUGAAGGUGAGGCAAGUCCCUAUCUCAUAACUGAGUUUCCAAAGACGGAUUUCUUUCAACUUUGUUUUUUUCAAUAUCGCAGGCAAACCUGGAAUCUUCCCUCCCAC